UUUCUUCAAUGAACCCUUCGGCCACCCAAAGCCUUAUGAGCCUGUAACUUUCAAUUGUAUAGUCUUCCGGAAAGCUGGAACAAUAUAAGAAGCAAUUUCGAAGGUAAUAGGGAAGAUCGUCAAAACUAAGUUUCAAAAUGUUAUGUACUUUUUCAUGGAGCUUCGAUUCGUUGUUAGUUAGAUACCACUCAAGAUCUUUGUAAACCUUCUCCCAUUCGGAACCUGUUUCAUCUCGAAAUGAUAAGAGACGGGCUAUAGAUACGAUAGCAAGGGGCAAGCCACCGCACUUCUCGACAACUUUUUUAGCACAUUGUUCUAAGGGCGGUGGGCAAAUCUUGUUUGCACUUUUCCAAAAUGCAUUUUUACAAAACAAAUCCCAUGAAUGACCUGCCUCUAGCGUCUUUAGCUCAAACAUACGGUUCUCGUUUGCUAAUAGUGCUACAUCGCGAAUCCUUGUUGUGAGAACUAUUCUACUCUUGCUAUUACUAUUCAGAAGUGCAUUCUUUAUAUUGUCCAGUACAUCAGUACUCCAAACAUCAUCCAGAAUAAGUACAUACUUUUUACACUGCAAAUAAGUGCGGAUAGUCUCAACCAAGCUUCUAUAAUCCAUGGUAUUAAUGUUGUUAGGUGCUUCUCCUUUCUCACGAUCUUUCCUAUAGAACUCUUUUAAGAUCUGUCUAAGCAAAUCAUCCGUCUCAUAACUUUGAGAUACAGCAACCCAGGCACAAGCAUCAAAAGAAGCUUCGAUGAUAUUGUACACAUGAGUCACGAGAGUGGUCUUCCCUAGACCACCCAUCCCCAAUACUGAGAUUAUCAUGGGCUGUCGUUGCUGCUCAUCCUCAUCUUUCAACCAUCUGAGCAACAAGUCCCUGUACUUGUCAAUACCCACGAUAUCAUCCUCCUCGACAAAAUGUGCUAAUUCUGCGGGGCUCUUGCUACCGCCAGCAGCUAUUAGAGGUCUUGCUUCAUUUUCCAUUCUGCUUGUAUCAUAUCGCUCCCUUCUUUCCUUAAUGUUUCGAAGCUUAACUUUGAUUUUGUUAAGCCUCUUGCUAAGGCGACGCCAAGUUGCUAUAUUUCUGCACAUCUUGACUGUUGUAGGCUGGACCCCUCCUUGCUCUUCACCGAGCUUGUAUGUGAACUCAUCUAUAAUAUCCUCAAUGUCGAAAGCCAAAUCUCUUGUUUGUUUUAUGAUGGUUGUUGUGCUCUCAUCCUUCUGUUUUAAUCUUUCAGCGAUCCGUAGGAAGGAUAGCAUGCUCUGAAGCUCACCCUUAAUGUCACUUAUAUCCUCCACAAGGUCUUCCAUUGCUGAUAUCCGUGUUAGUAAUCGUGAUGUUGCUGCUUUAGUUGCUUCACUAGCUAAGGUCGCACCGAUAUUUAGGAGUAAUGAGCUUACCACAGCCUCCGCCAUGGGCACUUCCUCUGAAUUGAGCCUAAAAUGUACAAUCUUUUCAAAUUACCAUGUCUCUUCAAAUGCACCACUAGCAAAAAUGAUUAUUUUUUAACGCUCUUAUGAUUCAAGGCAAUUUUUGUAAAAAAAUAUGUAAUUAAUUGUCUCAAUCGGAAUAACUCUGUAGUGCACUAAACAAACAUUUGUUAGAAUCCUCAGUUAAAAAAAAAGAAACACCAUUAACAGUAUUGUAGUCUGGAAGAACAAAAAGCAAUAACUUGUUCAAGAUUCAGUUUAACAAAAUUUUGAGAUUAAAGAUUCAUCAUAACUAGUCAUAUUGAACUCGACCUCAAUGUAUAUUUGUAGAUCAAGUUGUGAAAAAGUCCUUUAGAGGAGUAUGAAAUCAAUAAAGAGUUGGAAAGUAAAUCAAUCUGCUGCUAGCUAGUGAGUAGAUGGUAUCACAUUAAGCGUGAUUGUAAAUUAUUUUACAAUUAACAAUUAUAAAUCAAGUUUGUUUUGAAGCCCUCUUCUUGUUCAUAAUUAAGUUAAUAUUUAUCAGGACGAUAAGUCAUUUGAGCAAGAAACUAUUAGUGCUUUUUCAAAUAGUUUUGUUUUGAUAGAAAUAUAAGAACUUAAAUUUUAGACUCAUGAAACUCCCGUAUAUCUAAUAUGUUAAAUUUUAUUGCCUCGACAUUCAUAGUUUCAUACCGCCUAUUAUCAGACCAGAAUCUGAAAGUUCUAUUUCAACUUUUGUGAUUUGUGUUGCAAUUUGUAAAAGUUCUACAUUACUAGUUUUGAUAUUAACUGAGUUUUUUUUUUCCCAAAAUAAUUGUUAUCUUUGUGAGUUCAGCAGGAAUAUUUCUUAAGUGAAAUGACUUUGAUAUUUUUUUUUUUAUUUUUUUUUAUGAUGAGGCAUUUAAAUAAACGUCUUGUAUCGUUAAAUAUAAUCUAGAAUGUUUGCAUGGUUUAGAAACUGAAUUUUUUUUUUUUUGUCAUUAUCAUUUACCUAGUGAUCAAAUGGUCUUAAAAUUGAUAAUUUAACAAGUAAAACAAGACACUUUCUUCUUGUUUAACUGCAAAGAAAUAAAACCCUCUCAACUAUUUAGAUCAAGAGUUGUAACCAAGAUUGUGAAUUUAAGAUUUUUUUUUAAUUAUAUUUUUAGAAUGUCGCUAGUUUUGAACUUUCAAAUUAUGCCCACUUGGCAAGCCAGAAAAUAAAUUUUGAAAAUCAUAAAACUCUUUUUCUAGAAAGUUUAUGUAUCCUUUAGUAUAUUUAGCAUCUUGCAUGGUAUUGAUCAUCGAUUUAGACGCUCAAUCAUUAACAAUAAAGUGAAAGUAUAUAAUAAGGCCAAAUUAUUCUACCUUAAUUAUUAAUUAUCUCUUGUUAUUUUGUUACCAAAGAUCAAGUGAAUCGAAACAACAUAUAUAUAUAUUUGUAAGGACUGAGAUUUUGACAGUGUAACUAAACUCUCUGUUGACGAUGUUUAUAUGUGUAAUUUAAUUACAUAAGCACUCGUCAAGUUUCAGGAGAAAAUGAGCUAAAAUGGAGAAGAUACGCAAUUUUUAGUUUUCACUUAAGUGAAUAGUAACUCUGGUUUUCCGGAGAAGCCGCGGCGUAGAGUUGGCUUCUGGCACGUAUUGGACUUCGAACAUAGCAGUCCAAUAGCCCGUUUCGACCAGUUCAGCUAUUCUGGAACUAAUGGCGCUGACGAAUUUUGAGUUUGACGCACGGAUUUCGAGAAAAUCCAAAAAUACAUGUUUUAUAUGUAUUUGUGCGUAGUUCUUCUAUUGGAGAGUUGGAACGGUUCUCGCCGCGAAUCCGCGACCGAUCGAGAUGAACCAAAAUGGUAGCUAUGUUGUCUCCGUGGUGCUGAUCGCACUGGUGCAAUCCGUUCGCAAAUCUGACGGACGGACAAGCGGAGAUCGCACGUUGAUCGAGGAGAGGUUGGCGAUGGCAAAACGGUAAUUUCGCAAAAGUCGCGACAUUUUAUGUACCGUUUUACGCGAGAUCGCACGUGGAGGGGUAUUCGUGCAUUUUAUUCAAGCUGUGAGGGACUCGGAGCGAAAUAUCGAGUUUGGAGGGACUUUUGCACGAUUUAUCGCCUUACGUAUUUAAAGGCUUCUAGGGUUUUCCAUGAAACCCUAACCCUAAACCUAGCUCCAGCGAACCUAGCCGCCCUACCCCCCUUCUCCUCAUACGCCGCGCCCCUCCCGGCCGCCGCCGACCCAACCCCGGCCAGCAGCCAUCGCCACAGCCACCAUCUCCCACCUUCUUCUCUCUCCAUCUCCCUCAAUCCUCCUCUUUCUCUCGGGUUAGAUGCGGGCCGAGGCUACAUUGCCUCCAAGCACCUUGCCGAUGUCGCCCCCUGCCCCGGCGAGCCUCCCCGGCCGACCGCCGCCGCCCCUUGGGGCAGCGCCGCCGCCGCCGGGGCCAAUCCUGCAGCCGCCCCAGGUCUGCUCGGGCCGAGCAGACCUGGUAGCUCCAACCCCACGCCGCAGCCGCCCUUGUCCACCCCUGCGGCCUCCAUCAUGGCCUACGGUACCCCCUCCCCCGGCCGAAAGGGUCGCUGCCGCUGCCACGUGCCUUGGGCGCUGCCGCCCAAGGCUGGAGACCGAGCCAAGCUCGGCGCGGUUGCGCCCGAGCUGCGGGCUACCGCCGCCGUCGCCCGCCGCCUCCUCCUCUCCGUCCGGCCUCUAGGGCCCCGUCGCCGUCGUCCCUGGGCACCCCCGACCGCCGCCGGCUACAGCUGCACCGCUGAAACCCAAGCUCAGCAGUACGGGCUCGGGAUGUUCCAGCUUCGCCGCCGCUGCCUUCCGUCGCCGGCUGGAGCGAGCGCCGGUCUUCCCUGGCCGGCCGUACCCGUUCAUCGCCGGCUACCCCGCCGCCGGAGCACCCUGUCAACCGAGAUGAGCCUGAGCUCUCCUCGGGUUGUGCGGCUAGGGCAUCAUCGUCCUCCGCCUCCGCCACCUCCCGUCGUCGUCCGGUGCAAGCCCUGGUCUCCCCACACUGGCUGCACCCUCCUCUGCCAGCGCGUCCGCCGUCCGGCCUCCCGCGCCCUACCUUGCUCCGAUAAGCUUAGUUAAGAGCUUUUCUUGAGUAGUUUACUGUUCCGAGCAAUCCGAGGCUUCUCGAUCUCUACGGAAGGGAGCACAAUGAUUGUGACUCAUCGCUGAUCAUCGUGCUUACCUUAUUUUCUAUCGGGGAGGCUCCGUUACGCUGUUUCGGCGGUGUAGACCCUAUAAGAGCCUUUUUGGCUGCUGUUUCUGGUUUGCGUGCGUUGUUCCGGCGAUCCGAGGAUGUCCUGAUGCCUCCGGAGGUGAGAAUGGUGAUCGUUGGUCAGUGGCGAUCCCAGUGAUCACCUCACUUUUGAUCAACAGAGUCCGGUUAGUUCUGUUCGGCGUGUUUUUCCUCGACUGCGCGCUGUUCGCUGAACCUUCGGGUUGCUCCCGCGCUUCCCACAGUGAGUCAUUGUGCCCCAGAUCAUGAGCACGGCCUCCGGUACGUCGAGACCUGUCAGUACGUGUCUCGGCGGACCUUGGAAGUCCUUAGUUUGCGUGAACGAGCCAUGUCAUCGCCCGAUUUACAUAAAAUAUAGGGAUUUUACGUAAAGUGAGGGGCAUUUGUGCAAUUGUGCAUUAUGUGGCUACUGUGGGCAGUGCAUAUGUGUGUGUGGUGACCUCUGGACUGAUUAUCCAUGAUCCAUUAGCUUUUGCAGAAAUCGAAGAGUCGAUUUCGAUGCGUUUUGCGGCGAAAUUCGCCGAAAGAACGCGGUUUCGGUUCGGAUUUCUUCCAACGUGGUUUGUUUAUCCUGUGAAUUGUCGCUGAGCCUUGUUGGCUGGUCACCAUCAUCAUUUUGUGGGUUCAGUGAUGAUUGGUGAGCGACGGUGGGUUCCGGUGUCGAAAUAGACACUUUCGGGAACCCGGAUUCGUACAAUUAUCCGGCGAUAAUUUGUGUAGUGGUGUUAUCUUGUGUUUGCUGCCAAAACAUCCAAAUUGGAGUGUUUUGGGACAGCAGGCGACUCGUGACACGAGUCGGUGAGUUUCGGGACACUUAGUGGGUCCCGACGGCGUCCCAGUGUGGUUUUCGGGACUCCCGGCGAGUUACGGUAAUUGGAAUUGGGAAACCGAUCUUCGUGAAAUUGUUUGUGGGGUUGUGGAUACUGUGGUUAUUAGUUGUGGGUUAGAUACUAACCCGGUGAACCCUCUAUAGGUCCUGUCGAUAUUCUUUUGCAGUCAGGAGACAGACGCGACAUCCUUACAGGUGGCUACUUCGAUCCGACGUUGGUACAGUGGUGCAAGCUCGGUGAUGGUUUCUUACCCUUGCUCUUUUGUUAUUAUCCAUGCAUAUAUUAUAUGUUGAGCUUUGCACCUCUAUUGUUUACAUUACACCCACGUUGUUUGGUUAUACUCUGCUCGUUGUUUACAUGCUUAGUAUCCUGAGUAGGAGUAGAGUAGUUUAUCUGUAUGUGAUACCAUGUUUUCUUGUUGCUCUACUUGCCUGUUCUACAUAUCUUAUAUCAUGUUUAUAGUAGAGCGGUUCCGUGACUAUCUGUGAGAUUAGUGACCUAGUCGGUCGAUUCUAGUAUCCCGUAUUUGUGACCUAUUCGGUGAGUUCCUUGACUUUCGUUGUCCGAUGACCGUUAAGGUCGGUAUAACCUGAGGGGUGGUAUUGUCGGUUAGUUGCCGACGGAUGAUUAUAGUUUACUCAUAUCCACUAUUUGACAUGUUUGUGACCUAGUCAGUCAGUUCGUGACUCUUGUUGUUUCUCGUCGUUUGAUGACCUUUGAGGUCGGUGUACCCUGAGGGGUAGGAUUGUCGGCUAGUGGCCGACGGUAGUCCUAGAUUAUAUACUCAGAUGACUUGUUGAUCGAUUCUUGCAUAUAUACAGUAGUUAACUUAUUGAUCAGUAUCUACAUAUUUUUGGUAGGACGUUGAGUUGUUCCAUUCCAGUUGACUUGAUUAGUCAGUACUUGCAUACAGUUGAGAGGGUGUCGAGUUGUUCCAUCCUAGUUGACCUGAGUGGUCGGUUCUUGUACUUUCUUACAGUGGAUGAUCUUUUGGUCGGUUAGCCUCGAGGGGCGGUGAUUGUCGGCUGGUUGCCGACGGUUGGCCUUUGAGCAUAUCAGCAUUGAUCGCCCGACUCGUCGCAUUUCACGAACACUGGUGGUCUGAUCCACAGCAAGGAGUGUUCUUUUUCGAAAAAGUGGUUACUUGUGCCAACCCGUGAGCCCAGCGGUCAGGACUAGGUUAUAUGCAGGUAGAGUGGUAGUGGGCUUUUGCCUGAGGUCCUUAGACCGACACGGCGGUUUAGAUUGGGUAUUUUGGACUUCUUGUCCGGUUGACACAUAUGUCUAUAGUAGCAGUCGUUGCAUGCAUACUUACAGUUCUUACUUUAUAGUUGUCUUGCUACUAUAGUAGAUAUUCAUAUAUGCUUUCUGUUCCAGUUACAGUAGCGGUAGCCGUUAUUCAGUUUAGUUCCUACUUUCUUUCAGUUUAUUGCUACUGUAUUCAGUAUAUCUGCUCAUUACCUUAUAUAUCUCUUUCGUGUAUUAUUGUUGCUACUAUAUUUCCACUGACCCGUGUUGUUGUAUAACUCUUCCUGAUCCGGUGAGUACUCCUCGCCUUCUUCGGCUUGCUGUACCUACUGGGAGGGGAGACAUGUUUACAUGUUCUCUCCUCCCCCACUAUUUUUCAGGUAUCGCGGGCGAUGAGUAGUGGGACGAGACGUGAGGUACGUGUGUAGCGGUCGAUAGAGCCUCCGACCCAGAUUAUUUCGGUUUAGUUAUUACCCUUAUUAUUUUAGUUGUUAUAGCUUAGAUAGUUUAUAUGGUUCAGUAUUUUUAUUACAUUUGAAAUUUUGGGUUUUCAUGAGUGUAAUAAUCUGGUUUGUGAAUUUUGUAAAAUAAAAGGUUUUCUACCCCUCGUAAUAGCGUUUUUAAAAAGAUAAAAGUUUAUGUGUAGGAAAAUAAUUUUCAGAAGAUUUUCUGUGGAUUUUAUAUCUUAGUAUUUCAAAACCUGUUUCUUUGGUUGAAAACAUUUUAACUGAUAGAUGUGGAUUUAUGUUUAAAUAUUGAAUGUAUAAGUAUGAAACUGUGGUGAAUGGUGUAUGAAUGUAUAACUGUUGGUUAUUUGUAUGUUCGUCUGGUUGUGGUUGUAUCAUGUUUGAACUCUUGUACUUGUGCGACGCCGUGCAAAUACAGGGGAGACUCUACUCGUGUGAACAAUAGACCUCCUGUAUUUGUGGCGGAUCUGGCAUACUCUGGGGUCAGGUUUUCAAAAAAAAAAAAUUUCAGACGGUUUUCCGCUAUGCUUUAAACUAAAAAGGGACCCCGGGGCGUGGCAGAUUAAAAUGGUAUCAGAGCCAAGUUACAACCACAACACCAUUCAUAGGUUGUUUUGAAAAGUAAAUGAAACUGAACCAUUGGUUAGGUUGAACCAUAGGAAGACCUACGGUAUAUAGGAACGUGAGUGCGGGGUUUGGGCUUGAGUCCCGGUGUGCAUGUCGAGUUUGGUAAACUCGAAUACACGAUUAUUUCCUUAUGUACUACGAUUUUUGCAAAGCUGGUGUCCUAGUCGGGACUAGUGGCGGUGCUUCUUUUUGGACAUUGAGUGGUGGGGCGGUAUUCCCCAAGUGUUGCCACUCCUGUCAGGUGGGGCCUUGAAGGGCCAGGUGAUCUUCGGGUCUAGGCGAGUGUCAUAACUGCCGACGCCCAGGCCACUCUCUCUACUUAGGACACGAGAGCUGUUGCGAGUGUCUCUACGGAGACGGCAUUGUGAUCAGUUACGAUCGUGACUUCAAUGGGGCUAUUAGGGCGUAGCCCAGGGUUUGGUUAGCGGUCGUUUAGGCGACUGCAUUGUUAGUGUUGCUUCCGCAGAUCUUUGGGUAGGGUUGCGAUGCCUACCUCUCUUCCUUGAUUACUGAUUAGAAUUAGCGGUUUGGGUCUUUUGACCUUGAACUAGUCCUUUCGCCAAAUUGACGUGUACUAGAGUCGGAUUGACACAGUUUUGGUGUCAAGUUUUCGUUGGGGCAUACAUCGUAUGCGGAUAUUCUAACACCUAAAUUGGUGUGUUGUGGGUUAGUUGUAGUUGGUGAUAGGUUUCGUCUUGAUUCGAGAGACUCCAGGUUGUUGUAGGAAUUCUCGGAACUUUGACUAAAGCUCGGUUGUGGUGUGAAAAUCGGUUAGAGAAACCAUUUCUUAAAGCCUCAGUCCGUGUGGUUCGCAGCUUAGUGUUGCUAGUAGCCUUCGGAUGUUGAAAGUUAUAGGACUCCCUGUGAGUCGGUUCAGGGUCGUUCUAAUUUCGAAUGUCGACUUGUAAAGUUGAUGUUUCGAUAGUAUUGGUUGUGAGCUUCUGGUUCAGUUAAGAGGUAUCAAGGGGCUUGAUACUUCGACGUGUCACACUUCCAACUCGUUGUUGAUAAUGGAUCUUCGGAUAUUUUGCUUUUCUUUUGAUAAGUAUAUUGGCUGCAGACAAUAUACUGUUGAAAGAGUGACGAAAUACUAUCUUCCCGUUUGGGACUUAUGGAUUGGGUCGAUGUGUUCUCUAGAGUGUCUUGUGGGAAAGCUUGAGUGUCGAUCUUUUCUGACCACGUAGCGAGCCUUGGGUUAUUCCUUAGUAGGUUUGGCACAGUUGACUUAUCGUCACUGAUAAAGGGGUUUUGACUCUAGUUCGAGUCUGGGUGUUCGUAGCUCUUAGUUGUGCUUCCCACAGUUAAAAGGUUUGCUUGGUUAGUAGUCUCGGUCUAUUUGCCGGGAGGUUCGAAAUCAGUGAUUGAGUGACUUGAGCCUGGUGGUUGGCCUUGAUUGUCACCAUAUAUGAUAGCGUAUAAGGUUGUGACUCGGCUUAGCGUGCAAAUCUUGGAAGGCUAUACUUGUCCGAUUAUUUGGUGACAGGUACGCCUGGGUCUCAAUGAGAUAGGCAUUUGGUGUUGCUCGGAACAUCGAUCGCUAGGGUCCAUGAUAGGACGGCAGCGACAGGGUCUUGUUGAGACAGGUGUUGAGCAUCACCAACGGUUAGUAUCGCUUUUGUGAUUGGCGACCUAUGCAUCAAGUGAUGGACUUGCAAAGAGCUUUCAGUGGUCUGUUGGUACCGUAUUAAGUUUGAGGAGACAUUGUCUAGCCCAAUUGGUAUCGUCAGUUGGACCUUUUGGUCAGAUGUAAAGUAACGUCUUGGACCUAGGACUAUAGAUUGUCGCAGAUGGCUUUAGGUUGAUGAGGUUUUGACAGUUUGUGUGGUUACUAGUGGAGACUGUGGUCUCCGGUGUGAGUGAUUUUGACUCGAAUUUUAGAACAACGUUUCUUAUUCGCUCGUGGUGAGCAAGUUGACGUUGUUGGCUAGUCAGAGUGUGUCUUUUCGGCCUAUAAAAAUACACUCCAGACUUGUGGUGUUGACUCGUGUCUCUUCUACGUGAACCUUCGACGUAAUCGAGUCGGUUACUGGUAUGCGGAUCAAGGUUGAGUGUAUUUAGAAUUUCUAAGUGGAGAAUUUUUAUCUCAGAGUUGGUAAUUGGGGAUCUGAUAAUCCUAGUCGCGGGAUUGUCUUUGUCCGCAGGUUAUAGGAUAAUGUUGAUCCCGGUGAGUUUUGGUCUGUAGAUUUUGGGUUGUUACGUUUUCCCUCGAUUUGUCCUGGAGGAAUCGUAGUCCUUGGUGUCUCCCCUUCUUCGGAGGUUGAGCUGUCCAAAUGAAUGGUGACUGAUCAGUACUCAAAGGUGAUAUCACAGAGGUGGAAGUAAUAUCCGAAUUUGAUUUUGGUGGGUAUGUGGUCAAGUUUCGGGGACGAAACUUCUUUUAAGGGAGGGAUAAUAUAAGGACUGAGAUUUUGACAGUGCAACUAAACUCUCUGUUGACGAUGUUUAUGUGUGUAAUUUAAUUACAUAAGCACUCGUCAAGUUUCAGGAGAAAAUGAGCUAAAAUGGAGAAGAUACGCAAUUUUUAGUUUUCACUUAAGUGAAUAGUAAUUCUGGUUUUCCGAAGAAGCCGCGGAGUAGAGUUGGCUUCUGGCACGUAUUGGACUCCGAACAUAGCAGUCCAAUAGCCCGUUUCGACCGGUUCAGCUAUUCUGGAACUAAUGACGCUGACGGAUUUUGAGUUUGACUCACGGAUUUUAAAUCAUUGAAUUUAAAAUUUAAAUAGUAAUAUGAAAUUCCUCUAGAGAAAACUAAUUGUAGAAAUCUUACUCUUUAAGUUUUUUAUGCAUUACGUUUUAAACUUGUGCGAAUAAACUGUCUUUUAAAUCUUGGUAGAAAUUUAGUUUUUAAAUAGUAAUAUGAAAUUCCUCUAAUUUAAAUUUCACUUUUAAAUUUUAAGUAUUUAAUUUUUAAAAUUUAAAUUCAUCGUAUUUAGAAAUAAAACUAUUUCUAAAAUUUCUAUAAUUUAAAUUAAUGCAUAAUUUGAGAAACACUAAAACAUUUAAAGUAGAUUCCUAAAUUAAUGCCUAAUAAUUGCAUAAAUUUGGUUAAUCAAUUAAUUUUCUAAAUUAGUGCUAAUUAAUGCAUAAAUUUAGGACCUCAAUUAAAAGUUUCUUUAAAUAUUAUAUUAUUUAAUUACCAAACUAACCUUGAAUAAAAUAAUCCUUUUACCUGCUAAGUAUUAAAGUUAUAUUUUUACUCUCUAUUAAUCAACGGUUAAAUUUUUUUUUUUUUUAUUUUUUUAAAGUACCGAAUCAUUUCUCCCAAAAUAAUUAAUCUGAAAUUUAACUAGAGAAAAUACCGCAACCAAAGAAGCUCUUGAAGCAUAUGGUUUAGAGCUUGAGGAGUGAGAGAUGAUCUGGACGAACAGUGCAGCAACCAAGAAACAUCUUUCCUCUUGACUUCUCCCAUCAGCACUUGAGUGCAGUGGGCCAUGAUGAAUUAAUUUUAGGGAAUCUUUUGAUUAUAUACCUUUUACUCCUUAUCAAAAUUUUUUAAUUUAUUUUGAAAUUAUCAAAAUAUUCUUUCAAAAUCAAAUCUUAUUAGUAAACCGCAGCAAAAAUGAGGAUAUUUGAAGAAAUUAUUUAAAAUCAGUAAGUAUAUUUUGAUCCUCCAGGAGUAAAUAUAUAAGAUAUUUUGAAGUUUUGAAGAACAUAUUAGAUAUUAUUUUGAAAUUUUAUACAUAGGAUGAAAACUUCGAUUAACUGCCCUGUGGCCCAGCGUGUUAUAUGCUUCGUCGUACUGUAUUUGAGAUAUCUAAAGUAUAUAUAUGCUUCGGCAUUCUGUGUUCAAAAAGUCUGACAAAAUUUUUUACUUUGUCAAUUCUACAUUCGGAAAGUUUUACUAUGUUGUUAUAUAAUUUUACCUUUUGUUUGAGAGUAAAUUAUUCGGUCCUCAAAUUAUGAGACACGUGACAUUUCGGUCCUUAAAUUUUAAUUUGUUGUAAUUUUUAGCUUUUAUACUGCAUAUUACAUUUUAGUUCUCGAACUUUAAUUAGAUUGUAACGUCCCAGCCCACUAGCAAAAAUAAUUCGUUGGGCCCAAACACUGGCCCAAAAUGCUUAGCCCAGUUAUUAUUACCAGUGUCUAAGUCUCUUAUAUACCCAAUCAUAUCCCCAUUUCUAUUUUCGAUGUGAGAUUAUUGGGGUGACUCGUCUCGCUAGCCUUGUCAUCCAGACCCUGGCAUAGCCGGCUAUCUUGUUAUUCAGACUCUGGCAUACCCGAUCACCUUGCCUUUCAGACCCUGACUCAGUCUCGCUAGCCUUGUCAUCCAGACCCUGGCAUAGCCGGCUAUCUUGUUAUUCAGACUCUGGCAUAGCCGAUCAUAUUGCCUUUCAGACCCUGACUCAGUCGAGAUUCGCAAUACAUUUUUGGCUGGUGAACCGGCUCUGAUACCAAAUGUAACGACCCAGCCCACUAGCAACAAUAACUCGUUGGGCCCAAACACUGGCCCAAAAUGCUUAAGCCCAGUUAUUAUUACCAGUGUCUAAGUCUCUUAUAUACCCAAUCAUAUUCUCAUUUCUAUUCGAUGUGGGAUUAUUGGGGUGUGACAUAGGUGUAAUUCUAGCUCGACGGAUAAGGCAUGUGAUAUUUUGACUUGCUGAAUUAUUGGAAUUAAAUUUCACAGCCUAUUUUUUUAAAAUAAAUAUGGAUAAAAUAUUAAAUAUCUAAUUAAUGCAGCAUUUUAAAUAUUGUUGCAUCAUCAAAUAUGAUAUUGUUACAAUUCAAAAAGUUCGAAGAUUAAAAAGUUCUAUUUUAACUUCUUUGAUUUGUGCUGCAAUCUGUAAGAUGUUGUAGAAGGUCAUCUCGUUGUACAUUAGCAAGUUUAAAUCCAAAGAAAAUCACUAUCAAUUAAUUGCAUUCUCUGUAUGCCAAAAAGAAUUACUCUCUGAUUGCAUGCACCGUUUGGUUUGGGAAUAGGGAUAGGGAUAGGCUCUUAUCCCCCCCUUUAUACCCAAACGCUAAUUUUUUAUUCGAGAAUAGUAGUUCUCGGUUAUCCCCACCAACACCUUCAUUUUCUAUAUAAAACUUUCUAAUAUUUUUCUUAUCCUCGGGAACAACCCAAUUUUCAUCCAAACGCUAUUUUUCUUAUCCUCAUACUUGUACCUAUCCCUGUAAUAACUAGUUCUUGCUUAUACCCGAACCAAACGGUAUAAUAGAGAAUUAAAUAGCUUAUAGCAAAGAAAAUAAAAAACAAGAACACUUGGAACUUAAAAAUUAAUUAAAAAGAAUAAGUGGAAGAGGAACAACUGACCACAGAUCCAAGGAAGAGAUUGAAGAGGGGGCUGCUCCAAAUAUCAAAUUUGAUAAGGAAAUAAAUAAUUGGGCGCAAAUGAUUUGGACAGUACAGCUAUUGAUGGAGAAACUUCUUCCCUCUUUAUUAUCAGAGAUUCUAUUAUGUAUCAGUCAUACCACAUCAUCUAUUAAAAGUCAAUUAUAUCCCUUCUUUUGAGUAAAAAAUAUAAUAAAAAUAUUUUUCUAUUAACCAUGAUGGGAUGGGUGAACAAUCAUAAAGGAACAAUUUGAUUGGUAGAUGACGACACAUCACCAAUACAACUAAUACAUUCUAGAUUUUUUUUUUUUCCUUUAAUGUUCCUAGCAGCACUUGAUUGCAGUGGGCCAUGAUGAAUUAUGGGCCUGUUUCGCCAAUAUUCUAAAAAAUAAUAAUUUUUACAGGAUUAAUUUUAAUUUAGAAAAUUAAUUUUAGUUAAAAAUUGUAGGGCGCUUAGCUUAAUCUAACAAAAAAUUGAUUUUUUUAAAAUUUUCUUUAUUAAUUAUAAUUAAUAAUUUUUUGUCAAUCUUAUUUUAAAAUUUGAAUUCAAAAUUUGAAUUUGAAUAUAAAGUUUUUAAUUUUAAAGUUAAACAAUUAAAAAUUUAAAUUUAAAUUUAAAUUGUUAAAUAAUAGAAAUAAAUUUGAAUUUUCAAUUUUCAAAUUUUAAAUUCCAAAUUUCAAGCUUAUAAUUUAAAAUAUAAAUUUUAAAAUUUAAUAUUAUUUUAAGAAUUUCGCAAAAUAUAAUUUAAAAUUUAAAUUUAUUUGAUAAUUUAAUUUAUUUUAAUAAUUAAUUUUGAAAUUGUAAAUUUCAAAAAUUUAGAAUUUUCAAAUUAAAUCUAAAUUUUAAAUUGAAAUUAAAGGUUUAUAUUUUAUUUAUAAUUUAAAAUUUAAAUUUGAGAUUUGAAAUUAAAAACUAAAAUUUUAUUAUUAAAUUUAAAAUUUAAACUUUCAAAUUGAAAAUUUAAUUUAAUUUUAAAUUUUAAAAUUGAAUUUUAAUUCGAUUUUAAAUUUUGAAUUUAAUAUAAAAUUUGAAUCUUAAUUUUAAAUUAAAUUUUGAUUCCAAGUCAAAAAUUAGAUUUAAAAAGUAGGUUUUAACAAUUUAUUUUGGCUCAAAAAUCAGAAAAUUGAACCAGAUUUUGGAAGAAGUUAUCAUAUACUCUAUUGAUAAAAAAAAACUAUAUAUAUAUAUAUAUAUAUAUUAGGCUGGAAUACUAUUAAUAGUAAAACGCUCUUUUUGCUAUCAAGUUUUUAACCCUUGAUGAAAAAUUGAUAGGGUUAGGAUAAUAUUAGUCGGUUAGAGUUGAGUGGUCCCCCUAGGUUGAGUGGUGCCCACUAGGUUAUAGUAUUUAAUCCAAUGGUUAGAAAUAAUAAAAAGAGUUGAUCCAAAGGCCUAAAAAACUGAUAGCAACAAUAAAAUUUGCUACUAAUAGUAGCCCAGUCCAUACUAUAUAUAUAUAUAUUAUAUAAUAUAUAUUAAGAGUAAAAGACUUUGUGUUUCUGACUUUCUAGUCUUGGAUCAGGUUCUUUGAUUAUUUCUAACAUUGAAUUAUUAUCAUCCUAUCAGCCGCUCAAUCCUAGGAGCACUAUCAUUCCAACUUAAUACAACUUUUUAAUCAAGGGUCAAAAAGUUGGAAGCAUCAAGUAGAGAGAAAGAGAGAGAGAAUUGGACUAGAAUACUAUUAAUAGUAUUUUGGCUCUUUUACUAUCAAAUUUUUAAAUUUUGAAUGAAAAAUUAUAGAAUUAGAAUAAUAGUGGUGUUGGUAUAGUGGUGAUCCCCCUAGGGUUUAAACAAAACAAGUUAAGUAAUAGUUAAUUCAAUUGUCAUAAUGUCACGUUAACCGGCAGAAAUUAUCUGGCUACUUAUUCUACCAAAGUAAAAUUUCAUCUAAAAACUGAAAUAAAUUUUGAUCAGUGAUCUAAUUGAAAUAGAAGUUAAAGUUCGAUAACUUGAUUUGAAAAAAAAAAAAAAAAAACUAAAAAUUUUAUGAAGUAAAUGAAAUUUCAGGAAAAAUUAGGCGACUAAUAUUGUAUUAGACUUAAUUAUAUGCAAUUACUUGUACAUGUGUACGACAUAUAUACUUAAAUACAUCAUAUUGAUAUACACUUUCAUAUGCGUAUAUAUAUUAUUUAAUUACUCUCUCCCUCUUCCUCUAUCCUGCACUUAAUUUCUAUCUUUAAGCCAAUUUAAAUAUUGGGUUAGUUGACUUUGAAUAAGUAUAAAGCGAACCAAAUUUUAAUUUUUUUCAUCUUAUUUCAUUUUCGUGUGAACAUGGUGGAAUCGAGUUUUUAUACUAAUCAAAUAUAGGGAAACAAACAACCCGCCCCUCGUCCGCAUGGUGCCACUCCUAUUUAUAGGCAAAUCCUGGCAGAGACCCAGCCUGAGAGAGGAACCCCCAGCCACUUCCGGCGGCGCCGGAGACGGAAGAAGGGAUUAGAGGAAAGAUUUGCAGAGACAGGAGAAUUAGGAUGCACAUGGGGAGCAAAGAGAAGAGAUACCGCAACCACAGGGGCACACCGGCCAAACCUGACGCAGAGAUGUAACGGGCGUACGUCGGCCGCAGGAGAAGGUCAGCAUAGGGCCCGACAAGCAUCCGACAGGGAGAGGGGAUGGGGCCCGGCUCGGAGAGAGAACGACUCGGAGAGACACGGGACGGGAGGCACGUGACGCCGCUCGUCGCCAGCGAAGGAAGCGGGCAGAGCUGAGGAGGCGGGGGGUCGCUGGGGAGGCGACGCGUGGCGGUUUAGGGUUCGACUUUUAUUAUAUGUAUAGAUAACCUUAUAGUGAUAAGAGUUAAUUUCAUGAGUACAUAUAUACCCUUCCGUCCACCUCUAAUUUUGUCAAUAUUAAAAAUGAUCUUUUAAUUUCAAGAAACUAUUCAAAUUACUUUAUUAACUCAGUUUAAAAUUGUAUGCUAAUUAUUUUUUUCCUUUAAAAUUGUACUAUUCAUUUCCAGCAUAUAUAAAAUUUGUUGAAAUGAAUUCUGUUUAUUGCCCAUACCAUUAUAUGGAGCUAGACUGGUAUACUAUCGGUAGUACGGAGGCCUCCGUGCUAACAAGUUGUUUUUUAAUGAUACGGCUUUUAAAUCAACGAUCGGCUCCAGUAGACUUGAUCUACACUAGAAAAAGUAUUUGAAAACUAAAUUUUGUAACUUUUUGACAUUAUUUGACUAGUAUCCUUAAUUAUCUUUCAUAGUAUUGAUCAUUGAUUUAGAUGCUCAAUUAUCAACAAUAAAGUGAAAAUACUACAUGAGGCCAAAUUAUUCUACCUUAAUUAUUAUCUCUUGUUAUUUUGUUUCCAAAGAUCAAGUGAAUCCAAACAACACAUUAAUCAACAAAGACAUAUAGCAUACUUCUUGAACCCUUUUGCAGAAUCAACUACUUGAUAGCAAAGAAAAUAAAAAUUAAUUAAGAAGAGUAGGGGAAGAAGAAGAAGAACAACUAACCACAGAUCCAGAAAGGAGAUUGAAGAGGGAGCUGCUCCAAAAUAAUUAAUCUCAAAUUUAACUAGAGAAAAUACUGCAACUAGAGAAGCUCUUGAAGUAAAUGUUUUAUUAGGGAUUGAGGAGUGGGAGAUGAGGAUGAACUACACAUUAUAAACAAGAAACUGGGAGCAAGUGAUUUGGACAUUGCAGCUACCAAGAAACUUCCCUCUUGACUUUUCGCAUCAGUACUUGGUUGUAGUGUGCCAUGGAAUUAUAGGGGCUCCUUUUGAUUAUUUGCCUUUUACUACUAUUCAAAAUUUUUAAAUUUAUUCUAAAAUUACUAAAAUAUCUAUGUAAAAUCUAAUCUCAAUAAUAAUAAAUGGCCUUUUUGCAUAAAAUAUCUAUUAGUUUCGAGAUUUCAUAAAAAUGGGUCACUAUUUUGAAUUUUACAAAUUCAGCUCAAAUUUUUAGAAAACUGACUAAAAUAUUCUUAUUCCUCUCUCUCUCUCUUUCUCUCUCUCUCGCUCUCGCUCUCGCUCUCUCUUUCCCCCCGACCCUCCUUGCCUCCUCCACCGUCUUUGCGACGUCGACCUUCGGCGACGGUAAGAAGGAUGUUGCCGCCUCCUCUUUCUCCGCCUUCCCCAAUGCCGGUGCCGGCAUUGACGCUGACGCUGAAGGAAGAGGACUUGGAGCGGGCGCGAAUGAGGGCGGAGUAGAUGGAGGCGAUGAGUUCGUGGCUGUCACACCCCAAUAAUCUCACAUCGGAUAUGAAUGAGAAUGUGAUUGGGUUUAUAAAAGACUUAGACACUAGUAAUAAUAACUGGACUUAAGCAUUUUGGGCCGAUGGUUGGGCCCAACAGUUAUUAUUGCUAGUGGGCUGGGUCGUUACAUUUGGUAUCAGAGCUGAUUCACCAGCAAGAAAUGUGUGGUGAGUCUCGGCUGAGUUAGGGUCUGAAAGACAAGAUGAUAGGCUAUGCCGGAGUCUGAAUGACAAGGUGGCCGGCUAUAGCAGGGACUGGAUGACAAGACUAGCGAGACAAGUCUCACAUCGCAUGGUGAUCUUGCGCUGUGUGUGUGAUUGAACUGACUAGUUUGUCACACCCUAAUAAUCCCACAUCGAAUAUGAAUGGAGAUGUGAUGAUACUAAUAAUAAUAAUUGGGUUUAAGCAUUUUGGGCCAGUGGUUGGGCUGGGUCGUUACAGUAGCCGAGGCGUUGCUCGCUAUCGCACGUGAUGGUGAGAAUGAAGUUGCGCCCGCGCUUCUCCAAUGAGCGAAUAAAGAUGCAAAGGAUAGAAAAUAAAUAAAUAAAAAUAAAUAAAUAUUUUUUUUCUUGAAAGACCAUUGUGUAUCAUAAAUAAAAAUAAAAAAUAUUUUUUUCUUGAAAAUCAUUAUAUAUCAUCGCUCCUACAGAAAUGAUCAAGAAUCAGAGAAGAAGGAAAAAGAAUAUAAAGUUGUUAUUAAAAUAAAGUUGCAUUAUUUCACAAGAAAAUUACAUUUUUCGAGACGAAUGUUGUAUUUUUUGAUACAAAAAUUAUACUUUUUGAGCAAAGUUAUAUUAUUUGAGCGAAAAUUGUACUCUACCUACCAUCCGAUUAUCGUCUUGAAGCGGCUCCUCCUCGCCUUCCUCCUCACGCUCAUCUGCACCUCCGAGGCUCCUUUUCACUCAAUCAAGGACGGGCUCAAGGCGCUCUUUGGCAUUGCACUCUACCCGCUCAACCGCUCUGUGUUGGUUGAGCUCGGCGCCAUGUCCGCACUCUUCUCCCUUGUCGUUAUUUUGCAUUCGUCACGCUUUACCCGCUCAACCGUCCUGUGCUGGUCGAGCCCAGCGUCGUGCCCGCACUUUUCUCCCUCAUCGUCAUUCUGCAUUCGUCACGCUCUACCCGCUCAACCGCCGAUGCUGGUCAAGCUCGGCGUCGUCCCUGCGCUUUUCUCCCUCAUCGUCAUUAUGCAUUCGAAAAGUUUUAGUGUUAUAUAAUUUUAUAUUUUGUUUUGGGGUAAAUUACACUUUUGGUCCUCAAACUAUGACGUGCGUGAUAUUUUAGUCCUCAAAUUUUAAUUUAUUAUAAUUUUUGGCUCGACUUAUGCGAUACAUUUUAUUUUAGUCCUUAAACUUUAAUUAGGUAUAAUAUCUGGCUCGACCUUUAAGACCUGUGACAUUUUAGUCCUUGAACUUGCUGAAUUAUUACAAUUAAGUCUCACAACCAAAUUUCUUUUUAAAAUAAGUAUGGAUAAAUUAUUUGUAUUCAACUAAUAUAGUAUUUUAAUUAUUAUUACAUCAUCAAAGACGAUAUACUACAAUUCAGAAAGUUCAAGAACUAAAAUAUCACAUGCUUUACAAUUUAAGCUAGAAAUUAUAACUAAUUAAAAUUUGAGGACAAAAGUGUCACUAACCUUAUAGUUCUAACGACAAGUUAUAACAAAUUAAACUUUGAGGACGAAAGUAUCACGCGUCACAUGGUUUGGAGGUGAAAAGUGUAAUUUACCGUUUGUUUUACCAUAAAAAAAUAUUAUUAAAUAUAAUAGUAAAAUAUUAUGAUUCGCAAAUUAUACAAAAAUGCUAAAUUUUGUAGGUCAAAUUAUGUAAAAUAUGCGCUGACGCACAGCAGCUACGCUGUGGUUUUUGUAAUGGUCCGCCAAAUAGAGUAUAUCCCUGACGCGCUUUGGCCGCUGAGUCCUGAAAUAUUGUUAAAAUCAAAAAUAAAAAAAAGACGCGGAGAAGACUCGCACGACCCACGCGAGUCGUCUCCGCGUAGGGACCCAGUGAUGCUACCAACUAUACAUAUAUACUCCCUGCACCUGGUGUACUUUUACAUAUAUAUAUAUAUAUAUAUAUAUAUAUAUUGUAAAUAAUAUUUGGUAAUCAAUAUUUUAAAAUUAAGAAAGGAGCUGGGAGACGAUGUACUUUAUAUCUGGGAUAGGUGGAUGGUUAAGAAAGGAUUGCAGAAUACGAGGCAUAAUCUUUUUGAAUUGGUUGCGUACUGGUAGGUUAUUUGAAAGACUAGAAACGAUUGAUUUUUCCGAACAUCCAAUUCCGAUAAUAAUUUUGUUGAUAGUUAAUAGAAAUUCUGUGCACAUAGUAAUUAAUGACUUUGGAAAUUCAUAAUUUCGUGCUCAAAACUCCAAUUCCAAUAAAAUUUAGUUUAAUUAGAUGAUCGUCUCAGAGUAUCUUUUGUAUAGCAGGACUUUCAGUUUUUGAAAAUUAUGAGAAAUAUUACAUAAAAUAAUGAUGAUUGAGAGAUGAUUGUCUUUUUCUGAAUUUCAUAGAUUUUAUCAAAGAAAUUUUAAAUCCACCAAAAAUGCACCAAGUUAACUACUAGACCUUACAAAUAAGCCCCCACGAGUAUUAAAAACCCUCGGGAGCUAAGAAAAAUAAAUUCACCAAAAUUGACUUCCGUUUGUUCAAAUAAAAAUAAAUCCAGAUCGUGCUAUUAUUACAUAAUAGUGUAAUAAAAUAUGAACGAGGCUAUUGUACUAUUAAUAGCACCGAGUUAUUGGUGCUAUUAGGGUUUUGGCCAUUGGAUAAAAAAAAUGUAAGGUUAGAAUAAUAAUGGACCUCUAGGGUUGAGUCGAUGGUUUGUUGAAUAGUAUGAUCUAACGGGUGAAAAUAAUCAAAUGGAUAAAUUUAACAGCAAAAAACUUGGUAGCACCAAGGAGGAGGGUAAACUUGUAAUCUAGAUAAUUGCAAGAUUACCCGCCAGUAAUAAUACGAGAUACCCACUCUCAUUCGAUAAUAUUUUCGGAAUAGUCUUACAUCAUUUGUAAUGCUACUUUGCCAAUUAAAUUAUAGACUGGAUGAACCAAAUAUAAUAAUCUUAACAAAUUUACAUAUAAUUUUGACAGGAUAAUCCGAAUAUUAUAUGACAGGAUAAUCCGAACCAUCCUUUGUGAAUUAUGAAAGUGAUCAAUUUUGUUAAUCAUAAGGUCUACGUGAAUGCGGCCUACGCGCAACGGACGGGAGUUCUGAAAUUAAAAUAAAAAAUAAAAAAAAAAAAGAACACGGAGAGGACUCCCAUGACUCGGUCUACUUCCGUACAUGUAAAUUAUAAAUAAUAUUUGGAAAUUAGUAUUUUAAAAUUAAAAUCUAAUUCAAUAUAUAUUUGAUUUAUAGUAUUUAAAAGGAGGGUUUUUUAUAAACAAUUCUAUGAAGUUUUACAAUUACAAAAAUAUUCUUCUACAAAAAUUACCUAUAAAAGUAGGCCUCUAAUAUGCCAGGUGAGAUAGUCCGCUGAUAAAAUAUUGAAAGUGGUAAAUAAUUUACCAUAUUUAAAAGCAGCCAAGUAUUUACCGUCGAUAAUGGCAUGUUUGUUUGUUAAUAUAGGUUCGACAGGUGGGAUAAGUGUAUUCACAGUUCCUAGUAAGAUUAGGUCAGAGAUUGCACUGUUCUAUAGAUAGCUAGUAUUGGAUUAUGAUAGUAUAGUGACAUAUAGCUGUAGAUUGUUUUCAGUUCCUUUAAUAUCAUUGAGCAUACUUUCUGUAGACUUAGUGGGUGAACCGUUCAGAUCGGUAGCGGUGCCCACUGAGGACUACUUUUUGCAAUAGUUCUCACGCCCUGUUGUUGACUCUUUUUGCAGAGCCUUCUGUUAUGGCUGCUGCUAUUGCUGAGAUUGAUCGCGGAAAAGGUCUUGCGAGUUAGAGUCCUUCCUGACUAGUUGCAGAGCUAGAUGAGUAUCUUCUACAGGUAGUGUUAGUUUUUUGUUCUUAUACAUACUGAUAUUAGUAUCUCGCCGGAGCUAGAAUUUUUGUAUCAAAAUACUAUGUAUAUAUAUAUAUCGCGAAGCUCUGUUAUUAUAUACGUAUUUCUUUUUAAUAGCUCUAUAUUAUUUGUUUUAGUAUUGUAUGAUUACAGAUACAGAUACAGCUAUCACUUCGUAUACAGGAGAAAUUCCUAUAUAUACGGCGGGUCUGUUAGCGUACCGAAAAAAUGAGUAAUCCGGGGGCGUGACACUAAUAAUUUUGUUGAUAGUUAAUAGAAAUUCCGUGCAUGUAGUAAUUAAUGACUUUGGAAAUUCAUAAUUUCAUACUCAAAACUCUAAUUUCCAUAAAAUUUAGUUUAAGAUGAUCGUCUCAGAGUAUAUUUUGUAUAGCAGAAUUUUUCGUUUUAAAAAAUUAUGAAAAUAUUACAUAAAAUAAUGACUUGAUUGCGAGAUGAUUGUUUUAAUUUUCUGAAUUUCAUCGAUUUUAGCGAAGAAAUUUUAAAUCCACCAAAAAUGCACGAAGUUAACUAUUCCACCUUACAAAUAAGUGACCACCAGUAUUAGAAACCCUUGAGCUAAGAAAAAUAAAUUCACGAAAAUUGACUUCCUUUUGUUUAAACAAAAAUAAAUCCAAAUCGUGCAUUCAUUAUAUAAUAGAGUAAUAAAAUAUGAACUAGGCUAUUGUACUAUUAAUAGCACUAAGUUAUUGGUGCCAUUAGGGUUUCGGCCAUUGGAUGAAAAAAUGUAGGAUUAGAAUAAUAGUGGGAUAAUUAAGUAGAUGGUUUGUUGAAUAGUAUGAUCUGACAGCUAAAAAUGAUCAAAUAGGUAGAUCUAACGGUGAAAAACUUGAUAGCACCAGGAGAGAAGGUAAACUUGUAAUUUAAAUAAUUGCAAGAUUACCCGCCAGCAGUAAUAUGAGAUACCCACCCUCAUUCCGUAAUAUUUUCGGAGUAAUCCUACAUCCUUUGUAAUGUUACUUUGCCAAUUAGAUUAUAAACUGGAUAAACCAAUUAAAUAUAAUAAUCUUGACAAAAUUACCUAUAAUUCUGGCAAGAUAAUCCGAAUCAAAUACACCCUUUGUAAAUUAUGAAAGUGAUAAAUUUUGUUAAUCAGAAGGUCUACAUGAAUGCGGCCUACGCGCAGCGGACGCGAGUUCUGAAAUAAAAAUAAAAAUAAAAAAAAGAACGCGGAGAGGACUCCCGUGACUCAGGCACUGGUCUACGUUUGUACAUGUAAAUUAUAAAUAAUGCUUGGAACUUAGUAUUUUAAAAUUAAAAUCUAAUUCAAUAUAUAUUUGAUUUAUAGUAUUUAAAAUGAGGUUUUUUUUUUUUUAUAAACGAUCCUAUGAAGUUUUAUAAUUACAAAAAUAUUCUUCUACAAAAACUACUUAUAAAAGUAGGCCUCUAAUAUGACAGGUGAGAUAGUUCGCUAAUAAAAUAUUGAAAGUGGUAAAUAAUUUACCAUAUUUAAAAGCAGCCAAGUAUUUACCGUCGAUAAAAGCAGUGAAUAGUUAACCGCCUUUAGUGUAUUUUCCUUACUGGUUUGGGGGAAGCAUUUAAAAACAGUGAAUAAUUAAUCGCUUUUAGAAAAUUAUUUAACUUUUAGAAGACAGUAAACCAUUCAUCGUUUUAUAAAAUGGAGCGAAUGGUUUCACCCCUUUUCUUUAUGUCCUCAUCAUGAUAGCGCCCAUCCGACUAGUUGAAAUCUAUUUUUACACAUAAAAAUUUGAAGGGUCUAGUUUUAGAAUAAAAAUUUUGAAGAAGGCUAUUGGCCUAAAAGCCCAUUUUGAAAGUCUCAUUAUGAUGGCCUAAAAACAACUUCACACUAUGCUAAUUUUUCUUCUUUUUUUUUGUUCUUUUAUUUAUUUGUUGGGUGUACAUGCAUGCAUAAUUAAUUAACAAAAGAUUAUGUGCAUUAUGAUCUCAUGACGCUCAGAUCAUAGGCUCUCUUUAUGUUAUAGGAUAUGCUAAUUAUUUUGCUCUUUAAAAUCGCACUAUUCAUUUCCAACAUACAAUUAAUAACUUAUUGAGUUGUCACGCCAAACGGUCCGUAAACUUCCCUAAAAAAAAAAAACACGAAAAAAGAGAGAAAAUCUUUUUUUUUUUAGUUUUUUAAUAUUUUUUUUUUGAAAAUGAGCCUGUAGGGCUCUUAAAAUAUAAACAUUAUUGAUUAAUAUUUAGCUAAAAGUAUGUUCUUUGUUAGGAAGAGAACACAAUUAUUUGUGAAUUUCUUAGUCAUAUAACUUUGGGGAAAAAUUUUUGGAAUAUCUUUUAGUCAUAUGAUUAUGAAUCCACCAUAUAUAGUUAUUCCAAACAGAGUAUGCCAUAUAAUUGUCACAGGAUAAAGUUAUAAUUAAUUCAUAAAUUAAUCACUCCACAUAAGAGGGAACAAAAAUAGCCAAAACCUUAAUUAAUCAUAUUCUCCUUUUUUUAAUAGAAUUUCUUUUUAGAAUUAACGAAAGAAAUCAUAAUUUUGUUUGGUAAUGAGGAACAGAUCAAAUUCAAUAGAAUAAAAAAAAAGCAAAGUUACAUAUAGAUGACUGACCGUCUCUAGAACAAGUGGCAAAGAGCUUGAUGGUUGGUAUCCGAAACCUAAGUUCGAAUCCUAGUUGAUUCACAUUUCUAGCUCAGUUUAUUUCUAAAUGAAAUAAAUGAAACGGAUAGCGUGCUACAUAUUUCUCAAAAAAAAAAAAGAAAAGAAAAAAAAGUUACACAUAGGUGGUGUAGCCAUGUAAUAAUUCUAUUUCAUUGGAACCGACAAUAUUUGUCUUGGUAUAACCAAACGCCUAGGAGUUGCUAAAUCUUAUUUCAUUGAGAACUCAAUUAAUUCUCUCCUUAAUUUGGCUAUAUAUAAUGCAUGGCUCCGGUGUAGAGUUUACUUAGAACUCACAAUCCAAUUGGAUUCUUAAUUAAACCCUAUUUAUUUUUUAAUAAAUCUAAAUCUCAUGUCAUAUAUCCUAAUUAAAUUGGAAUUUGACUUUAAUUUAAAUAACUAUAAAUUUAAUUUUCUCACUAAUCUAUUAGAUAGCAAUAUUUGUUGAAUAAACUAUCUCAUCUAUUUUACUCUAUUCUUAUCAUGUUAUAUCGUCAAGUCCUUUUUGUUUAGGAUUAACCCCACGGAGUUAAGAACUGACAUUCGCUUUUAUCUUUUUCUUCAAAAUUUUUUUCAAUCUUUUUAAUAAGAGUAAAAUAUAGAAAACUCUAUGUAAAUACUUAUUUUUUUACUUCCUCCACCGACUUAAAAAAAAAAAAAAAUCUAUACAUUACCUCUUCAAAAUUUCAAGUUGAUGCGUUUAAACCCCCUACAUCAAGGUUCCGUCACUAUUCCGUCACUUCCUUAUAAUUUAUACUAAAAAAGCCCUUAAAAUGGCAGAAAUACAGAAAAGAAAAAUUUAUUUUUUUUCUUAAAGAACGAGUAAAAAAAAAUUGAAUCAUUUAUUCCUCUCCAUUCGCACCAAACAUUUCUAAGAUUUUAAGGAGGCAGAAUGUAGAUUUUUUGAAAGUUAGGAAAAAAAAAAAGUGAAAAAAAAAGAGUAUUUAUAGGGGGAGAUUUUCUUUAAUUUUUGGGCAAUGGAUAAAGUUUUAAGGGUACAAAGCAUCCUACAAAUUCAUAAUGCUGUGGGGAAGUAAUUAAUUCUUCGGAAGGCACCACCAACUCAUUCUUGAUACAUCCACUUUUAUGUACAUUAAAUUAAAUAGAAGCAAAAUAAAAUAUGCAGACGAGAUAGACAUCUGCAUCUAGAUCAUCGUUUCCUCAAGCAUGGAUUGUUUAGAAGAUCCGAGACGGAAAAUAUAGAAGCAUCAAGCUCGGCGCUUUGCAAUAAUGAAUUCAGCCACAUGAUGUGGAAUCAGUACUGAAUCCUUUCUGUGACAGGCUUGCCGUCUCGUUUUAACUGGAUAGUAAAAUUCGGGAUGUGGCGAACCCUUGUGCGCCAGUCAUUGCUGUGGUCGCCUUCUCCUUCUCCUAGAAGUAGCUCAACAAGUUCCUCUGCUGGAUAGAAAAUGUUCAAAUCCUGAAGGGUGGUCAGGUACACGAUGCCGAAGGGCAGCUCCUUUAGCUUCCGGCAAUAGGAUAGGUGAAGCUUAUUCAGGCUUGCCAUUGCUCCUCUUUCUAUUUCCACCUGACUGAGAUUCGGGGCAUCUAAUAUUGUCAAUCUCUUUAGCUUCGGGAAAGAUGUUGCUUGGAAGUGCAACUUCAUGCCAUCAUAUGCGCAAGAAAGGUGGAGAAACAUCAACGCAGGCAGCGCUUGCAGGUAAGGAAAUGUAUCUUCAUCCAAUUCUGACUCCAAAAGUUGUAAUUUGGUUAGGUUUGAUAGAGACCCAAAGGAUGCGGCAAGCUCAGAGAAUGAGGUUUUGUCUAAUUUACCGUCCAGCCAUAAUUCUUUAAUUGGCAGAGGUAGGCGCAGGGUGCCCAACUGCUGUAAUUCUUGCCUAAAUACACUUUCGACAGAUAAUUUGCUAAGAUGGUUCAUCUUUGUGAUACUAUUCCACAAGUCUGCACAGUGAUGGGUUCUUACGCCGGUUAUCGCAAAUGUCCGCAACUCUGUCAAAGCUUCUACAUUCCGCACAAUCUUCCUAGUUGCUUCAAUAGAUCCUAAAGUCUGCAAGUCCUUCAAGCGCCAUAUUCCAACGGGUGCCUUGAUGCCCUCGCCAACAUAUUCUGAUAAAACUAGGUGUCUCAACUUAUGAAGCCUCGUUAUUCCCUUCGGCAGCUUUCCUAUUUCACUUUUAUCUGUAUUUAGUAUUUGCAGAUUUUGUAGCUUCCCGAUUGAUCUUGGAAGCUCCUUAAUUUUUGUUUCUCUCAAACCAAGAUAAUGCAGGUUGAAGAGGUUACAGAUUUCACUCGGAACUUUCUCAAUUGGCGCUCCUUGUAGUUCCAAGACACGUAAAAAUUUUGAUGAUCUUAAGACCGACUUCAAUAAAUCAUUCCUCAUGGAAUUGUUGAAAACAAGUACUGAACGCAAAUGAGAUUUUUCUUCAGUACAAUAUUCAGUUAUAUCGCUUAGGAUUGACAAGCGUCGUGCUUUGUAUCCCUGCAAUAUUGUCCUUGAAUGCUCGCAAACCAUGCAGAAACUUAACUCCUUUGACUCCGAACGAGCGAGGACUCGAAUGAUGUCAUGCAUUCGAUAUGCAUAAACUCUACCAACUUCGUUCCACUCAGCCACUUGUAAUAGACAGCGAUGAACAAGUUCGUUAAGGUAGUCCUCGGCCACUUCCUCCAUCGUUCUUUCUCUUUCUUCAAUGAACCCUUCAGCCACCCAAAGCCUUAUGAGCCUGUCACUUUCAAUUGUAUAGUCUUCCGGAAAGCUUGAACAAUAUAAGAAGCAGUUUUGAAGGUAAUGGGGAAGAUCGUCCAAACUAAGUUUCAAAAUGUCAUGUACUUUUCCAUGGAGCUUCGAUUCGUUGUUAGUUAGAUACCACUCAAGAUCUUUGUAAACCUUCUCCCAUUCAGAC
RNAcentral lists this long non-coding RNA (26634 nucleotides) under Ananas comosus (pineapple). RNAcentral describes it as "long non-coding RNA (ACOM_LNC002893)". Lineage: Eukaryota; Viridiplantae; Streptophyta; Magnoliopsida; Poales; Bromeliaceae. The record is from RNAcentral.